AUUAGCUGUCCGCUCUCAGGUUGGGCAGUCAGGGUCGGAGAAGGGCAAUGACUCAUUCUUAAAACCAGCGUUCUUAAGACCAAAGAGUCGGGCGGAAGGGGGGGAAAGCCCUCCGUUCCUGGUUCUCCUGUAGUUGGAUCCUCCGGAACCACAAGAAUCCUUAGUUAGAAUGGGAUUCCAACUCAGCACCUUUUGAGUGAGAUUUUGAGAAGAGUUGC
RNAcentral lists this long non-coding RNA (218 nucleotides) under Nicotiana benthamiana. RNAcentral's name for it is "long non-coding RNA (NBEN_LNC000578)". Lineage: Eukaryota; Viridiplantae; Streptophyta; Magnoliopsida; Solanales; Solanaceae. The record is from RNAcentral.